UACGAGGGGGGCAAGCGUUGUUCGGAAUUAUUGGGCGUAAAGGGUGCGUAGGCGGUUUGGUAAGUCUUAUGUGAAAUCUACAGGCUCAACUUGUAGUCUGCAUGAGAAACUGCCGGGCUUGAGUAUGGGAGAGGUGAGUGGAAUUCCUGGUGUAGCGGUGAAAUGCGUAGAUAUCAGGAGGAACACCGGUGGUGUAGACGGCUCUCUGGACCGUAACUGACGCUGAGGCACGAAAGCGUGGGGAGCAAACAGG
Molecule: ribosomal RNA, 253 nt
Filed under: uncultured bacterium
Lineage: Bacteria
Description: partial 16S ribosomal RNA
Rfam family: Bacterial small subunit ribosomal RNA
Source: RNAcentral